Molecule: microRNA precursor, 159 nt
Filed under: Pelobates cultripes (western spadefoot toad)
Lineage: Eukaryota; Metazoa; Chordata; Amphibia; Anura; Pelobatidae
Source: RNAcentral
GCUGACACAUUCCGGCCAAUCUCCAGCAGACCCUCCCUCCCAGACCCUCUCACCUCCUGGACAGCAUCCAUGUUGAAGCUGCCUUCAACAUGGAUGCUGUCCAGGAGGAGGGAGGGUCUGGGAGGGAGGGUCUGCUGGAGAUUGGCCGGGAUGUGUCAG